GGAGGUUAUAGCUUAGUGGUAGAGCACGUGCUUAUUAUGCACGAGGUCCUGGGUUCAAUCUCCAGUACCUACA
This 73-nucleotide transfer RNA is filed under the name Vicugna pacos (alpaca). RNAcentral describes it as "tRNA-Asn (ATT) (tRNA-Asn-ATT-17-1)". It matches the Rfam family "tRNA". Rfam says of the family: Transfer RNA (tRNA) molecules are approximately 80 nucleotides in length. Their secondary structure includes four short double-helical elements and three loops (D, anti-codon, and T loops). Further hydrogen bonds mediate the characteristic L-shaped molecular structure. tRNAs have two regions of fundamental functional importance: the anti-codon, which is responsible for specific mRNA codon recognition, and the 3' end, to which the tRNAs corresponding amino acid is attached (by aminoacyl-tRNA synthetases). tRNAs cope with the degeneracy of the genetic code in two manners: having more than one tRNA (with a specific anti-codon) for a particular amino acid; and 'wobble' base-pairing, i.e. permitting non-standard base-pairing at the 3rd anti-codon position. The record is from RNAcentral. Lineage: Eukaryota; Metazoa; Chordata; Mammalia; Artiodactyla; Camelidae.